CCUACGGGAGGCAGCAGUGAGGAAUAUUGGUCAAUGGGCGCGAGCCUGAACCAGCCAUGUAGCGUGAAGGAUGACUGCCCUACGGUUUGUAAACUUCUUUUAUAAAGGAAUAAAGUGAGGCGCGUGUGCCUUUUUGUAUGUACUUUAUGAAUAAGGAUAGGCUAACUCCGUGCCAGCAGCCGCGGUAAUACGGAGGAUCCGAGCGUUAUCCGGAUUUAUUGGGUUUAAAGGGAGCGUAGAUGGGUUGUUAAGUCAGUUGUGAAAGUGUGCGGCUCAACCGUAAAAUUGCAAUUGAUACUGGCAGGCUAGAGUACUGUUGAGGGAGGCGGAAUUCGUGGUGUAGCGGUGAAAUGCUUAGAUAUCACGAAGAAUUCCGAUUGCGAAGGCAGCUUACUAAACAGCCACUGACAUUGAUGCGCGAAAGUGUGGGGAGCAAACAGGAUUAGAUACCCCAGUAGUC
Molecule: ribosomal RNA, 460 nt
Filed under: uncultured bacterium
Lineage: Bacteria
Description: partial 16S ribosomal RNA
Rfam family: Bacterial small subunit ribosomal RNA
Source: RNAcentral